UGACGAUGAUCAUUCAACCUAAAACAUCGUAUACAAUUACAUCAUUCAAAAAACGUUUGCAUAAAUAAGUUUUUGGAUGGCACUAUACUCUGCUGACUACACCUCCUUUGUCACAAAAAGUUACCUUCAAGUUCAACAGCAAAUUCUAUCAAGAGGCUCCAUGUGAGAUUAUAAAAAAAGAGAUGCACUCGCAUGUUUUCAACAAGGCAGAACAUGAUAUCUGCAUAGUGACGCAGCCUCCAACUUUUGACUACAACACGAGAAACUCGACAGUUCCUCUAUCUCAACUUGCAGCUUUAGGAAAUUUCAAUAUUUACUGUUGAUUUGGAAAACACCAAAACUAAGUUGGAGAAAGGACUAUUGAAGAUUAUCCUGCAUGGCUAAGCUGAUUAGUAUUUUUCACAGAAAUGAAUGGUGUUCCUGGUGGUGAAGAUAUUGAAGCUACUAAAGCUGUAAUGUAAUGUAAUAGUUUUCAAAUUAGUUAACACCUCAGAUAAAGUUAAUUGAACACCUUUCAUUAGAUAAAGUUAAUUUCAAGUUUUAUCUCAAAA
Capsicum annuum is the source of this 551-nucleotide long non-coding RNA. RefSeq lists it as uncharacterized. NCBI's taxonomy places the organism in Eukaryota, Viridiplantae, Streptophyta, Magnoliopsida, Solanales, Solanaceae. The record is from RefSeq and is a predicted model, not a curated record. The transcript is spliced from 3 exons.